GCUCGGGGUUAGGCUGGGCAUCGGUCAGCGGGUGGAAACUGCAUACUUGCUCACUGUGGUCCAAAUCACCUCCCUGGUAAUGGAGCCAGAAGAACCCCAACGAAGAAGUGCAGCAGGAGGAACUGACUGCUACAUCCAGCUCAACCCGCUCCAGCAGCUUAAUGGAUGCACAGCCCACAUGUUACUUGCAAAGUCCCUUCCAACAAGCUUCCUGGAUUAGACCUUCUUCCUCCCAGCUGUGAAACAAAAGAUCGUCAGAUCUUCAAAUCUUCUCACACUGAAACACCAGAAGCUUCAACUUCUGCAGAGCAUGGCUUACACUCUAUUUCAGGGGAAAAUAAGGAUAUAAGGCUGAAGUUGUUCACAGUCAUAGAUAUUUGAAUUUUAGAAGACAAUACAGUAUUUUGCAGGAUGAUGUGUGUCCAGGUACCAUUGUGAUUGUUUUGAAACUUAGAGUGGAUUGAUAGUAAUGCAACUGUGGUGGAUUUAAACCUUUUAGAGUAAAACUGGAGAAUUCACAAGAUGUUCUUGUCAAUGAUGCAGCUGUGACUGUAAAGUUCUUAUCUGAUGAGUAGUGAUAACUCUAAAUUAAAACUCUUAAUUACAAUUCUUUAUUAUAACGUUAUAUAUGAAUGCAUACCAGAAGUAGUUGGUGAGGGAGGAAGAAAAAUCUCUAAGGCUGGUAAGAACUCACAGGUGAAUGUUUUGAAUCCAAAUAUUCCAGGGCAUGUUGUACAUGUUACUCAGUAGCCUGUAUUGGAAAUACUGGGAUAGAGCUGUCUUCUCCAUACACCAUAUUUCACUUAAAUUAGUGAGAUUUUUGCUUCCUUGGCAAAGGCAAGAAUGAGAUCUCGGUGUUUAAGUUGCCAUGGCCAAUGUAAAAAGCAGCAUCUCACUGCAGGUGCAUAGCCAGGUCUCUGCUGAAAUGUGUGCAGUCUAAUGUUAGCAAAAAGGAAAACACUUGUCAUCACUGUCAUUGAUUUGCUGAAGUACAGCAUGAGUGCUUUUCUUCCUUCCUUGAUCUUUCCUACCCAGUGGUGUCAUAUCCGUAACAUCCUCUUCCCCUCUUCUUUCUGAUUACCAGAUAUAAGACUUUUUGAGAAAAAUUCCAUGAUUUUUAACUUCUAAAGAGUCUUCUCUAAUCUAGACUACUAUUGUUAAAAUCUGAAUCAUUCCAAAAGAACAAGCAUCUAAAUUUCUGGGAAGGAAAAAAAAAAAAAAGGUUUCAAACAUGAUAUAUGCAUAGCUUUUUAGCUUUUUAGUUUAUUUCUUCUUUGUCAACAUCUCAGAGAACCAGGCAACUGGUAACAACAGUUGUACACAAGCAGAAAAGUAUUGCCCGCAAGGUAACACAUUCCCUCUCCCUCAAUAUCCCUCUCAAUAGUAUUUUUGUUCAUCAGCUUUACUUCAAUAGUUUAAUUAAAUGGUGGGACCAGAAAAUGAGUGCUGCAACUCUGGAAGGUGAUGCCAUCUCUGCCCCAGUUUCACAAGUAGCCUUACGCGGCAGUUCAUAGAAGAGCAUUAUUCCAUAAGCCUCUGACAAGUUUGCUGCUGCUUCUCACUCCUGCAGCUAUAAACUAUCUCACUCCAGAUAGCUAUAAAUUGGGGAAUGUCUGUGUUCUUUAUUUCCUCUCAGUAGGUGUCUGUAAAUCAAACCCAGCAGGUGUAUCCCCCGUUUUCAUAUGACCCCAACAGUUGGAUGUGUUAAUAGUACUAGCCACUCCAGAUCCCUUUUAAAUGACUGAAUAACAUUGGUGAAACAUUUUAAUUUUUUUCUGUGCUAUAAAUAAACUGCAAUUACCAUAUACAUGGAUUAAGAACAUGUCUCUGGAAAGCCUGCUAAUAAACUCUGUUUCUUGAAAGUUACGUCUUUUGUAUUACUGCCAUGCCUCUGUUUGAUGUCCUUGAAAUCCUGAUGUUAGAAUUCUUUACCUUCCAACAAAUUUGUAAAUUAUUUUUAAAUUUAUUCUAAUUAUUUCUCUAACAUUCCAGUAGUUAUAUACAGGAAUAAGUAUUUAUAACUUUACAGAAUGUGAAUUAGCAUUUGAAUUUUAAAAUAGCUUUUGAUUACCAAAAUGGUUUCAAAGUAAAUUAAAAAAAAAAAAAUAGACGCAGACAGUGUCAUAUAGAUUGUGAGUUCCUAUGUACUUUAAAAUGUAUGAAUUGUGACAUGAUCCAGGGAACUUUGAAACUACAUCAAUUAUUUUGCAUCUGGCAUUGCACACCACCUGCAUACUGAGAGAGCAGAGGGCUUGAUGAUUUUUGAAACUCGUUUCCGUGGAUGGUCACAUGAAUGCAUUGUAUUGUUUUCUAGACAGAUGGAAAGCUAGUAAUGUCCCAGAAUUCAAAUAUGACUUGUAUUGAAUCUUGGUUUAUAUUUUACUUUGUUUGUUUGUUUUGUUAUUUUGGCAUAUUCUGAUAUAUCAAAAGCAGAGCAUUCUUUUCUGAAGAGCAACUUAAAUUAUAUACAUCUAUAUCCUUCCUUCUACAUGCAGUUGGGCUGCCCCAGGGGAAUUGAAAGUAGAAUUUGAUAUAUACUGUCUGAAAGGGCACAUUUUAAUAUCUACAGUUUCAUUGUUUAUUGCGUUUCAAAUAGAUUCUGUAGCCAAAUAAAUUAAUGUAUGCAAACAUUUGGCUCUUUCUAUGUUCUUCAAAUACUUUUA
Molecule: long non-coding RNA, 2663 nt
Organism: Anas platyrhynchos (mallard)
Lineage: Eukaryota; Metazoa; Chordata; Aves; Anseriformes; Anatidae
Source: RefSeq, a predicted model, not a curated record